RNAcentral lists this transfer RNA (72 nucleotides) under Sarcophilus harrisii (Tasmanian devil). It matches the Rfam family "tRNA". From Rfam's summary of the family: Transfer RNA (tRNA) molecules are approximately 80 nucleotides in length. Their secondary structure includes four short double-helical elements and three loops (D, anti-codon, and T loops). Further hydrogen bonds mediate the characteristic L-shaped molecular structure. tRNAs have two regions of fundamental functional importance: the anti-codon, which is responsible for specific mRNA codon recognition, and the 3' end, to which the tRNAs corresponding amino acid is attached (by aminoacyl-tRNA synthetases). tRNAs cope with the degeneracy of the genetic code in two manners: having more than one tRNA (with a specific anti-codon) for a particular amino acid; and 'wobble' base-pairing, i.e. permitting non-standard base-pairing at the 3rd anti-codon position. The record is from Rfam by way of RNAcentral. Lineage: Eukaryota; Metazoa; Chordata; Mammalia; Dasyuromorphia; Dasyuridae.
UAGGAUGUGGUGUAAUGGGAGCACAAAGUUGUUUUGAGUUCUUUGGUAUAGGUUCGAGUCUUGUUGUCCUAG